Molecule: transfer RNA, 73 nt
Filed under: Trachymyrmex cornetzi
Lineage: Eukaryota; Metazoa; Arthropoda; Insecta; Hymenoptera; Formicidae
Rfam family: tRNA
About the family: Transfer RNA (tRNA) molecules are approximately 80 nucleotides in length. Their secondary structure includes four short double-helical elements and three loops (D, anti-codon, and T loops).
Source: Rfam by way of RNAcentral
GCCUCGGUGGUCUAAAGGCUUAGGACGCUCGUCCGGAAAACAAGAGAUCUGGGUUCGAUUCCCGGCCGAGAUA